This is a non-coding RNA of Lentinula boryana, 99 nucleotides long. Lineage: Eukaryota; Fungi; Basidiomycota; Agaricomycetes; Agaricales; Omphalotaceae. The record is from the annotation of a GenBank genome assembly.
UCCCUGGUAGUAUAUCGGUUAGUACACGCGCCUGUCAUCAAUUGUGCGUGAAGAUAAAUCGUGUCGCGCGAAAGCUGGGUUCGACUCCCAGCCAGGGAG